Molecule: small nucleolar RNA, 148 nt
Organism: Cynocephalus volans (Philippine flying lemur)
Lineage: Eukaryota; Metazoa; Chordata; Mammalia; Dermoptera; Cynocephalidae
Product: small nucleolar RNA SNORA40
Exons: 1
Source: RefSeq, a predicted model, not a curated record
AGCACUUAGGUUUGCUUCUGUUUAACUUGUGGACAAAGACUUACAGACUGGUACCCACCCCCCCAAAAAAAGAAAGAAAGAAAAUCCUCUUUUGCAACCCAGAACUCAUUGUUCAGUAUGAGCUUUGAUACUUAUAAGAAGGAACAUC